AUUGAACGCUGGCGGCAGGCUUAAAACAUGCAAGUCGAACGAGUGGCGGACGGGUGAGUAAUGCUUGGGAAUCUAGCUUAUGGAGGGGGAUAACUACGGGAAACUGUAGCUAAUACCGCGUACCAUAGGAUGAGCCCAAGUGGGAUUAGGUAGUUGGUGAGGUAAAGGGUCACCAAGCCGACGAUCCCUAGCUGGUCUGAGAGGAUGACCACCCACACUGGGGCUGCGACACCGCCCAGACUCCUACGGGAGGCAGCAGUGGGGAAUAGUGCACAAUGGGCGCAAGCCUGAUUCAGCCAUGCCGCGUGUAUGAAGAAGGCCUUCGGGUUGUAAAGUACUUUCAGCGAGGAGGCGUUACUCGCAGAAGAAGCACCGGCUAACUCCGUGCCAGCAGCCGCGGUAAUAC
Molecule: ribosomal RNA, 406 nt
Filed under: uncultured bacterium
Lineage: Bacteria
Description: partial 16S ribosomal RNA
Rfam family: Bacterial small subunit ribosomal RNA
Source: RNAcentral